This 311-nucleotide ribosomal RNA is filed under the name uncultured bacterium. RNAcentral describes it as "bacterial SSU rRNA". It matches the Rfam family "Bacterial small subunit ribosomal RNA", at positions 30 to 336 of the family's 1533-position model. The record is from RNAcentral.
AUUGAACGCUGGCGGCAGGCCUAACACAUGCAAGUCGAGCGGAUGAAAGGGGCUUGCUCCUGGAUUCAGCGGCGGACGGGUGAGUAAUACGCAGGAAUCUACCUAGGUAGUGGGGGAUAACGUUUCGAAAGGGGCGCUAAUACCGCAUACGUUCUGAGGGAAGAAAGGCAGGGGAUCGCAAGACCUUGCGCUAUUAGAUGAGCUUGCGUCCGAUUAGGCUAGUUGGUGGGGUAAAGGCCUACCAAGGCGACGAUCGGUAACUGGUCUGAGAGGAUGAUCAGUCACGACUGGAACUGAGACACGGUCCAGAC